RNAcentral lists this RNase P RNA (459 nucleotides) under Pedobacter sp. Its description in RNAcentral is "RNase P RNA component class A". It matches the Rfam family "Bacterial RNase P class A". From Rfam's summary of the family: Ribonuclease P (RNase P) is a ubiquitous endoribonuclease, found in archaea, bacteria and eukarya as well as chloroplasts and mitochondria. The record is from RNAcentral. Lineage: Bacteria; Pseudomonadati; Bacteroidota; Sphingobacteriia; Sphingobacteriales; Sphingobacteriaceae.
AAUGCAGGCCGUUCUAUCGCUGUGAAGCCUAUGUUUCAGAGAGGAAAGUCCGGGCAACAUAGUGCAUCCCGCUUGCUAACGGCAAGGUAUGCAGGAUUGAAAACCUGUAUAACGGAUAAGUGCCACAGAAAAUAUACCGCCGUGACCGCCGGAGCUUAAGCGCAGGAGGAUCCUCCUUCGCUUAAACUUCGGCGGACGCAGUAAGGGUGAAAACGUGAGGUAAGAGCUCACGACGUAUGAGGGUGACCUUAUAUGAUGGUAAACCCCGGGAGUUGAAAGCCCAAAUAGGUUCCGGGCAUGGGGCGGCACGUUCCAUAUUUGUUGUAAACUUGUUUACUCCAAAUAAACCGGAAUGGGUAGGGCGUUAGAGAUAAAUGGCAACAUUUAUACCAGAUUAAUGAUAGAAGUUGUUUGCUUAGGCCAACAAAACAGAACCCGGCUUACAGGCCUGCAUUUUUU